This 347-nucleotide ribosomal RNA is filed under the name uncultured Desulfocapsa sp. RNAcentral describes it as "bacterial SSU rRNA". It matches the Rfam family "Bacterial small subunit ribosomal RNA", at positions 1033 to 1382 of the family's 1533-position model. Lineage: Bacteria; Pseudomonadati; Thermodesulfobacteriota; Desulfobulbia; Desulfobulbales; Desulfocapsaceae. The record is from RNAcentral.
GACAGGUGCUGCAUGGCUGUCGUCAGCUCGUGUCGUGAGAUGUUGGUUAAGUCCCGCAACGAGCGCAACCCUUGUCUUUAGUUGCCAUCAUUUAGUUGGGCACUCUAAAGAGACUGCCGGUGUCAAACCGGAGGAAGGUGGGGAUGACGUCAAGUCCUCAUGGCCUUUAUGACCAGGGCUACACACGUACUACAAUGGCCGGUACAAAGGGCAGCCACUUAGCGAUAAGGAGCCAAUCCCGUAAAGCCGGUCUCAGUCCGGAUUGGAGUCUGCAACUCGACUCCAUGAAGUUGGAAUCGCUAGUAAUCGCAGAUCAGCACGCUGCGGUGAAUACGUUCCCGGGCCUU